Eriocheir sinensis (Chinese mitten crab) is the source of this 2646-nucleotide long non-coding RNA. RefSeq lists it as uncharacterized. The transcript has 2 exons. The record is from RefSeq and is a predicted model, not a curated record. NCBI's taxonomy places the organism in Eukaryota, Metazoa, Arthropoda, Malacostraca, Decapoda, Varunidae.
AGGAGGAGGUGAAGGUGGAGGUGGAAGUGGAGGUGGAGAAGGAGAAGGAGGAGGAGGUGAAGGUGGAGGAGGAGGUAACUUUAUUCUCUCACAGUCCUCAUAUAAGGCAACCACGAGGUCUGUUUUUUUUUCUUUUUUAAAGGAGGAGGAGCAGGAACAAAGAAACACAAAGAGAGAACAAACAACAGCAGGCCUGCUGGUCCUUACGAGGCUGUUUGUGAUAAGCUACACUAACUAUCUAAUCAAAGGUGGAAGAUGAAGGACAGCAAAGGCGAAGGCCGUGGUGAGCAAAUCAGGGAAGUAAAGUAACGGAACAGGCCGAGGCAGCAACACUAUAAUAUAGUCGCCAAGUCAGUCAGUUCGGGGCCUCGCCAUUCGCGCCAAUCCCGGGCAGAAUCUUGGCGGUUCAGUCUCCUUCCUUCGCCCUGUCAACUUCCCACUUUCGUCACAUCACUUUCCUUCCUUCCCUCGUUCCUUCCUUCCUUCCUUCCUUCCCUCGUUGUUGCUUUCCUUCCUUCCUUCCCUCGUUCCUUCCUUCGUCCUGUCAUCUUUCUCCAUCCUCCCUUCCUCCUGUCACCUUCCCCCCUUUAUUCCUCCCUUCCUCUGUCACCUUCCUUUGGCCUUCGUCCUGCCAUCCUUGAUCCAACAAAAACGGUCUCCGGCGCCUUCACUGUAUUUUCGAUUGAUUUUAAUUAAUCCCGUCUGGAAUUUUAAGAGGCUCAUCUUGCUAUCCACCCUCCUCGCCUCGCGGGGCUGGGGAGCGUCAGGGGGCCCAAGGCCUUCCUGGCGAGCGUCGCAGGGCUCAGGGCUCCGGCAGGGCGCCUCGGCUCCCCCGGAGCGUCCACGGAGGUGUCGGAGAUCCCGAGGGUCCGGGGUUGGGGGGGCGUGAAGUGGCAGCAAGACAUGCAGUUACUGACCUCUUAUUAGCCAGACGACGCGUUAAUGACACGUUCCAAUGGAAGGUUCGACGCAUGGGGAGGUACAAUUCCCCUAAGCAAGGCAAGUGUCAUGCCAACUACGAUAAAAAACGAAAAAUCCAAAAAAAAUACAAAAACAAAAAAUCCAAAAAAAAUUGUCUUGUUUUGCUUUGUUUAAAGCGUCUUGUAUGUUGGUAUGGCGGGUCUUCUCUGGGGAGAAGGAGACUAACGCGUUCCAACAUACAAAACCAGGAAAAGACGACAUGGAAACACCGAGAGAAGGAAGGGAAAGAAGGGAACACCAGAAGAAGGAAAAUGAAGAGAAGUAACACUAGAAGAAGGCAUAUGAAGUAACACAAGAAGAAGGAAGUUGAAAAGAGUAACACAAGAAGAGGGAAUUUGAAAAGAGUUACACAGAAGAAGGUAUUGAAAAGAGUUACACAGAAGAAGGUAUUGAAAAGAGUUACACAGAAGAAGGUAUUGAAAAGAGUUACACAGAAGAAGGUAUUGAAAAGAGUUACACAGAAGAAGGUAUUGAAAAGAGUUACACAGAAGAAGGUAUUGAAAAGAGUUACACAGAAGAAGGUAUUGAAAAGAGUUACACAGAAGAAGGUAUUGAAAAGAGUAACACAGAAGAAGGUAUUGAAAAGAGUUACACAGAAGAAGGUAUUGAAAAGAGUAACACAGAAGAAGGUAUUGAAAAGAGUUACACAGAAGAAGGUAUUGAAAAGAGUUACACAGAAGAAGGUAUUGAAAAGAGUUACACAGAAGAAGGUAUUGAAAAGAGUUACACAGAAGAAGGUAUUGAAAAGAGUUACACAGAAGAAGGUAUUGAAAAGAGUUACACAGAAGAAGGUAUUGAAAAGAGUAACACAGAAGAAGGUAUUGAAAAGAGUUACACAGAAGAAGGUAUUGAAAAGAGUUACACAGAAGAAGGUAUUGAAAAGAGUUACACAGAAGAAGGUAUUGAAAAGAGUUACACAGAAGAAGGAAUUUGAAAAGAGUAACACAGAAGAAGGUAUUGAAAAGAGUUACACAGAAGAAGGAAUUUGAAAAGAGUAAAACAAGAAGAAGGAAUUUGAUGAUAAAUAACACAAGAAGAAGAAAUGUGAAGUAACACCGGAAGGAAAAUGCAGAGAAGUAACACUAGAAAAAUGAAAAUGGAAAUGAAAAGAAUCAUCCACCUUUCGGCCCAAACCAACAUCACAAAAUUAUGGGCGAGUCUCUUCUGGGAGGAAAGCGGCUCGUUCAGACCCAGGAACACCAGAAAGGAUGAUAGAAACAUCAAGAAAAGGAAAACAGAAAAGUCAUCCACCUUUCGGCCCCUGGGGCCGCAGGGUGGGUGACGGGUGAAUCUCCUCUGGGGAGAAGGAGGCUAACCCACACAGUCAAGAUAGAGGAUAGAGAAAGGAAAUUAAAUCAUCGAGAAAAGAAAAUGAAAUUACAAUAUCAAGAAAAUAACUAAAAACUCAUCGAGCUUUCGGCCCCUGGGGCCGCAGGGCGGGUGACGGGUGAGUCUUCUGGGGAGGAGGAGGCUCAUCCACAGCCAGCAACACCAACAGAAAGAAAAGAAAAGAAAACAUCAUGAGAAAAGAAAAGAAAACAUCAAGAGAAAAGAAAAGAAAAGGAAAAGAAAAGAAAAGAACAAAGUAAACAAAGCAAAACAAGACAAAACAAAAACAAAACAAAAUAAAACAAAUUAAAACAACAUUAUAAAUAUAUAAAUAAA